UACGUAGGGUGCAAGCGUUAAUCGGAAUUACUGGGCGUAAAGCGUGCGCAGGCGGUUGUGCAAGACAGGUGUGAAAUCCCCGGGCUUAACCUGGGAAUUGCAUUUGUGACUGCACGGCUAGAGUCUUGUAGAGGGGGGUAGAAUUCCAGGUGUAGCGGUGAAAUGCGUAGAGAUCUGGAGGAAUACCGGUGGCGAAGGCGACUUUCUGGCCUGUAACUGACGCUGAGGCGCGAAAGCGUGGGGAGCAAACAGG
This 253-nucleotide unclassified non-coding RNA is filed under the name uncultured Enterobacteriaceae bacterium. RNAcentral describes it as "contains 16S-23S intergenic spacer region". It matches the Rfam family "Bacterial small subunit ribosomal RNA", at positions 524 to 776 of the family's 1533-position model. The record is from RNAcentral. Lineage: Bacteria; Pseudomonadati; Pseudomonadota; Gammaproteobacteria; Enterobacterales; Enterobacteriaceae.